Molecule: ribosomal RNA, 1541 nt
Filed under: human gut metagenome
Description: bacterial LSU rRNA
Rfam family: Bacterial large subunit ribosomal RNA
Source: RNAcentral
CGGCGGGACACGAGGAAUCCUGUCGGAAUCUACCAGGACCAUCUGGUAAGGCUAAAUACUCCUCUGUGACCGAUAGUGAACCAGUACCGUGAGGGAAAGGUGAAAAGAACCCCGGGAGGGGAGUGAAAGAGAACCUGAAACCAUAUGCCUACAAGAAGUCAGAGCCCGUUAAAGGGUGAUGGCGUGCCUUUUGUAGAAUGAACCGGCGAGUUACUGUAUGGAGCGAGGUUAAGCAGGAUAUGCGGAGCCGAAGCGAAAGCGAGUCUUAAGAGGGCGAAAGUUGCAUGCAGUAGACCCGAAACCGGGUGAUCUAGCCAUGACCAGGUUGAAGUUGGGGUAAAACCCGAUGGAGGACCGAACCGACCCCCGUUGAAACGUUGGCGGAUGAGUUGUGGCUAGGGGUGAAAUUCCAAUCGAACCCGGAGAUAGCUGGUUCUCCCCGAAAUAGCUUUAGGGCUAGCGUCGAGGUAGAGAGUUGCGUGAAGGUAGAGCACUGAAUAUGUGAUGGCCCCAUCUCGGGGUACUGAGCAUAAUCAAACUGCGAAUGUCACGGAAACAUACUCGGCAGUCAGACAGCGGGUGAUAAGGUCCGUUGUCAAGAGGGAAACAGCCCAGACCAUCAGCUAAGGUCCCAAAAUGUAUGCUAAGUGGAAAAGGAUGUGGAGAUGUACAGACAACUAGGAGGUUGGCUCAGAAGCAGCCAUCCUUUAAAGAGUGCGUAACAGCUCACUAGUCGAAUGACUCUGCGCCGAUAAUUUACCGGGGCUAAGCAUACUACCGAAGCUAUGGAUCCCAAGGGAUGGUAGGGGAGCGUUCCAUGAACGGAGAAGCGCGAUCGAGAGGACGCGUGGAGAUCAUGGAAGAGAGAAUGCCGGUGUGAGUAGCGGAACGUGGGUGAGAAUCCCACGCACCGAAAACCCAAGGUUUCCAGAGGAAGGUUCGUCCGCUCUGGGUAAGUCGGGACCUAAGGCGAGGCCGAGAGGCGUAGUCGAUGGACAACAGGUAGAGAUUCCUGUACCCGUAUAUAUGUGAAGGAAUGACGGAGAGAGGAAGCUGCAGCCAGCGGCUGGAAGAGCUGGUGCAAGCGAGAUAUCGGGAUGGCAGGCAAAUCCACCAUCCGAAACGAGAAGGCGUGAAGCGUACGGAAAGCUAAGGCGAGUACGGAAGGCAGUGGAGGAGCUUCCAAGAAAAGUUUCUAACGAAAGUAUAUGUGACCCGUACCGAAAAUGGACACACAUGGGUGAGGAGAGAAUCCUAAGGUGAGCGAGAGAACUAUAGCUAAGGAACUCUGCAAAAUGACUCCGUAACUUAGGGAGAAGGAGUGCUCAUAGAGAUAUGAGCCGCAGUGAAACGGCCCAAGCGACUGUUUACCAAAAACACAGCUCUCUGCUAAGCCGCAAGGCGAAGUAUAGGGGGUGACGCCUGCCCGGUGCUGGAAGGUUAAGGGGAGGGGUUAACGCAAGUGAAGCCCUGAACUGAAGCCCCAGUAAACGGCGGCCGUAACUAUAACGGUCCUAAGGUAGCGAAAUUCCUUGUCAGGU